Molecule: ribosomal RNA, 468 nt
Filed under: uncultured bacterium
Lineage: Bacteria
Description: partial 16S ribosomal RNA
Rfam family: Bacterial small subunit ribosomal RNA
Source: RNAcentral
GACGAACGCUGGCGGCGUGCUUAACACAUGCAAGUCGAACAGAAAGGCCCUGCUUUUGUGGGGUGCUCGAGUGGCGAACGGGUGAGUAACACGUGAGUAACCUGCCCUUGACUUUGGGAUAACUUCAGGAAACUGGGGCUAAUACCGGAUAGGAACUCCUGCUGCAUGGUGGGGGUUGGAAAGUUUCGGCGGUUGGGGAUGGACUCGCGGCUUAUCAGCUUGUUGGUGGGGUAGUGGCUUACCAAGGCUUUGACGGGUAGCCGGCCUGAGAGGGUGACCGGCCACAUUGGGACUGAGAUACGGCCCAGACUCCUACGGGAGGCAGCAGUGGGGAAUAUUGCACAAUGGGCGGAAGCCUGAUGCAGCAACGCCGCGUGCGGGAUGACGGCCUUCGGGUUGUAAACCGCUUUCGCCUGUGACGAAGCGUGAGUGACGGUAAUGGGUAAAGAAGCACCGGCUAACUACGUG